This 942-nucleotide long non-coding RNA is filed under the name Olea europaea subsp. europaea. The record is from RNAcentral. Lineage: Eukaryota; Viridiplantae; Streptophyta; Magnoliopsida; Lamiales; Oleaceae.
GGGAAUUCCACCUAAUUCUAAUGGAAAUGGAUGCAUUUCCCAACUUAAUGAAAGUGUAAACCAUCAUUAAUUGUAUGGUGGAUGAUCAUGAUCAGCAAUAGCUUGUUCCUAGCAUUUUUUAAUAGAUGAGAAAAUCACCCAGCUAAACUUAAUCUAACUUACAAAAUCGACCAGUAAUCUGAACUUAAUUCAUUCAUAAGACAUUGACCAUUAAUCUCAUUAAACUAUUUUGCAGCAGUUUGGAAGAGAUUGACCAUUAAUCUUAUAAACGAUUUUUUGAAUACAUGAGAAAAUCAACCGGUCAUUUGAACUUAAUUCAUUCAAAAAAUCAACCGGUCAUCUGAACGUAAUUCAUUCAUACUUCAUUGAGAUAAUGUUUUCGGAUGAAAUUCAGGUAAAAGGAAUUCCACCUAAUACAGGUAGGGCAUGAUAAACUAUGCAAUAAAGUAUGAAAUUCAGAUAGGUAGGGCUUUGAAUCAAUAAAGUAUACAAAAUUCAGAAUGGUAGGGCGUUGAAAUUCAGGUAAAAUUCUUUCAAAAAUUACCAAUCUGGAGAUAUAUAUUUUACGCAUACUUUGACAAAAAACUGAAAUUUACAAACAAAAUCAUAAAAUUUAAACUUACAUCUUCUUCUUCCAUCUAAUACAACUUGAAAUUUGAAGGUUUGGAUUUUUGGGGUGUUAAAUUGCAAGUUGCAGUGGACGGCUGACGGGCUGCUCUGCUACAGGUAAGGCGUCGAAUUUGAUUUCUGAAUGUGAAGAAGAAGAUAAUGGAUUUUUAUAUAAACGUUGGUAGACUGGGCGGUUUCUUCGUAAUUGGGACAGCAGUUUGAUGAAAAACCGGCGGUUCCUUUGAGUUUUUAUUGGAUCAGUAGUAUGGUUAAAAUCAUAGGUGGUUUGGACCGAACCAUGGUCCGGUUCAACGAUUUUUGGGUCGAACCGGU